Long non-coding RNA from Helianthus annuus (common sunflower), 107 nucleotides. RefSeq lists it as uncharacterized. NCBI's taxonomy places the organism in Eukaryota, Viridiplantae, Streptophyta, Magnoliopsida, Asterales, Asteraceae. The transcript has 2 exons. The record is from RefSeq and is a predicted model, not a curated record.
UAUAGGGCGACCUCGGUGUUCCAACCCCCUAAUCUCUUACACUCGUCAACACUUGGAUAAUCGGAAGACUUAGCAAUUAUGUUGACUAAUGAAGUAUGGAUGAUUGA